RNAcentral lists this ribosomal RNA (485 nucleotides) under uncultured bacterium. RNAcentral describes it as "partial 16S ribosomal RNA". It matches the Rfam family "Bacterial small subunit ribosomal RNA", at positions 899 to 1397 of the family's 1533-position model. The record is from RNAcentral.
ACUCAAAGGAAUAGACGGGGACCCGCACAAGCAGAGGAUCAUGUGGUUUAAUUCGAAGCUACACGAAGAACCUUACCGAGGUUUGACAUCCCAGGAAGGCGCUGGAAACAGUGCUGUGCCUUCGGGAACCUGGUGACAGGUGCUGCAUGGCCGUCGUCAGCUCGUGUCGUGAGAUGUUGGGUUAAGUCCCGCAACGAGCGCAACCCUUGUCGUAUGUUGAAUUUUUCAUACGAGACUGCCCGGGCCAACCGGGAGGAAGGUGGGGAUGAUGUCAGGUCAGCAUGGCCCUUACACCUCGGGCCACACACGUGAUACAAUGGCCGAUACAACGCGUUGCCAAGUCGCAAGAUGGAGCUAAUCGCAUCAAAAUCGGUCUCAGUUCGGAUUGCAGGCUGCAACUCGCCUGCAUGAAGUUGGAUUUGCUAGUAAACGUGGGUCAGCAUACCACGUUGAAUACGUUCCCGGGUCUUGCACACACCGCCCGU